UAAUUGGAGAGUUUGAUCCUGGCUCAGAAUGAACGCUGGCGGCGUGCUUAACACAUGCAAGUCGCACGAGAACUCUUCUGCUUGCAGAAGAUAGUAAAGUGGCGCACGGGUGAGUAACGCGUGGGUAAUCUACCUCCGAAUUGGGGAUAACCCGCCGAAAGGCGAGCUAAUACCGGAUAAUAUCUUUAAAACAUCCGUUUUUUUGAUCAAAGGUGGCCUCUACAUGUAAGCUACUGUUUGGAGAUGAGCCCGCGUACCAUUAGCUUGUUGGUAGGGUAAUGGCCUACCAAGGCUUCGAUGGUUAGCUGGUCUGAGAGGAUGAUCAGCCACA
RNAcentral lists this ribosomal RNA (331 nucleotides) under Deltaproteobacteria bacterium. RNAcentral describes it as "bacterial SSU rRNA". It matches the Rfam family "Bacterial small subunit ribosomal RNA", at positions 1 to 312 of the family's 1533-position model. The record is from RNAcentral. Lineage: Bacteria; Pseudomonadati; Myxococcota; Myxococcia.